UAGAGUUUGAUCCUGGCUCAGGACGAACGCUGGCGGCGUGCUUAACACAUGCAAGUCGAACGAUGAAGCCUUUCGGGGUGGAUUAGUGGCGAACGGGUGAGUAACACGUGGGCAAUCUGCCCUUCACUCUGGGACAAGCCCUGGAAACGGGGUCUAAUACCGGAUAACACUCUGUCCCGCAUGGGACGGGGUUAAAAGCUCCGGCGGUGAAGGAUGAGCCCGCGGCCUAUCAGCUUGUUGGUGGGGUGAUGGCCUACCAAGGCGACGACGGGUAGCCGGCCUGAGAGGGCGACCGGCCACACUGGGACUGAGACACGGCCCAGACUCCUACGGGAGGCAGCAGUGGGGAAUAUUGCACAAUGGGCGAAAGCCUGAUGCAGCGACGCCGCGUGAGGGAUGACGGCCUUCGGGUUGUAAACCUCUUUCAGCAGGGAAGAAGCGAAAGUGACGGUACCUGCAGAAGAAGCGCCGGCUAACUACGUGCCAGCAGCCGCGGUAAUACGUAGGGCGCAAGCGUUGUCCGGAAUUAUUGGGCGUAAAGAGCUCGUAGGCGGCUUGUCACGUCGGAUGUGAAAGCCCGGGGCUUAACCCCGGGUCUGCAUUCGAUACGGGCUAGCUAGAGUGUGGUAGGGGAGAUCGGAAUUCCUGGUGUAGCGGUGAAAUGCGCAGAUAUCAGGAGGAACACCGGUGGCGAAGGCGGAUCUCUGGGCCAUUACUGACGCUGAGGAGCGAAAGCGUGGGGAGCGAACAGGAUUAGAUACCCUGGUAGUCCACGCCGUAAACGUUGGGAACUAGGUGUUGGCGACAUUCCACGUCGUCGGUGCCGCAGCUAACGCAUUAAGUUCCCCGCCUGGGGAGUACGGCCGCAAGGCUAAAACUCAAGGGAAUU
RNAcentral lists this ribosomal RNA (889 nucleotides) under Streptomyces sp. AKB-2008-ET11. RNAcentral's name for it is "bacterial SSU rRNA". It matches the Rfam family "Bacterial small subunit ribosomal RNA", at positions 1 to 911 of the family's 1533-position model. Lineage: Bacteria; Bacillati; Actinomycetota; Actinomycetes; Kitasatosporales; Streptomycetaceae. The record is from RNAcentral.